RNAcentral lists this ribosomal RNA (465 nucleotides) under uncultured bacterium. RNAcentral's name for it is "bacterial SSU rRNA". It matches the Rfam family "Bacterial small subunit ribosomal RNA", at positions 338 to 795 of the family's 1533-position model. The record is from RNAcentral.
CCUACGGGGGGCUGCAGUGGGGAAUAUUGCACAAUGGGCGCAAGCCUGAUGCAGCCAUGCCGCGUGUAUGAAGAAGGCCUUCGGGUUGUAAAGUACUUUCAGCGAGGAGGAAGGCAUUGUGGUUAAUAACCGCAGUGAUUGACGUUACUCGCAGAAGAAGCACCGGCUAACUCCGUGCCAGCAGCCGCGGUAAUACGGAGGGUGCAAGCGUUAAUCGGAAUUACUGGGCGUAAAGCGCACGCAGGCGGUCUGUCAAGUCGGAUGUGAAAUCCCCGGGCUCAACCUGGGAACUGCAUUCGAAACUGGCAGGCUAGAGUCUUGUAGAGGGGGGUAGAAUUCCAGGUGUAGCGGUGAAAUGCGUAGAGAUCUGGAGGAAUACCGGUGGCGAAGGCGGCCCCCUGGACAAAGACUGACGCUCAGGUGCGAAAGCGUGGGGAGCAAACAGGAUUAGAUACCCCAGUAGUC